AGAGCAGCGAGCGGGUGGGGAGCAGCCGGGGCGAGAAUGAGCGCAAUCUUGCUAACCCCUGCGGAGGGAGCGCGCGGGCGCCAACGCGGGCGCGCGGGGGCGGGCCCUGGACCUGGACCUUGGGUUUCGGCCCUCCUCCGCGCCCCGCGGUCUCGCGGGCGAAGUUUCAGUCCUGAGUGUAAAGAAUAACCCCAAGCGCGUGGCUAAGUGCGAGCAGGCGCGUGUGACGUCGGGAGGCGCCGCGGCUCCUCGGCCGCCCCACUCGGUGGUCCCCUGUCUGGAUCCAAACUGCUGACUGGCUGACCCGAGUGGUCACAUUUGCCCUCUGGGGCUUUUGAAAACCUUAAAUCAAAAUUGCUUUUGAAUCUGACAACUCCUGAGGCUACUUUCGCGGCCUCGGGGCUGUUUCAUAUAAGGACGCGAGUUUUCCUGAUCAGGUCUGUCGGCCACGUUACGAUUUCCAAUUUGCGAUCCAUCAGUUACUUCCAUUGGGUCUUCAGCCCCCAGGGACUGUGGAUCCUAGACCCCGCGGAGAAGCCCGUGGACUGGAGCUGUGUCAGCUCUGAUGAAUUUACACUCAUUGGAAUAAUAAAAUAGAAGUAAGCAACCGUGCAUUAAAAAGCUAUGAAAAGAUGAAGAGAAUAUGCCUUCAAAUGGGAAGGAAUACUUAACUGUGAAUAAGACCUAGUUCAACAUGGAACUUCCUGGUGGCCAAGUCAGAAGAGAAGCACAGAACAAAAACGGAGGCACAGAGAGGUCAAUUGAUUGGUCUAAUGACACAGAUCUAGCAAGUGGUGGAACCAGGACUGAAUCCAGGUGUGUGUCCGGAAUUGGUGGGUUCUUGGUCUCACUGACUUCAAGAAUGAAGCCGCGGACCCUUGCGGAACUGUGAAGACUAGAGUGACCUUGGAGAUCUCAUCUGGAAGAUGGUAGAACUGCUAUCAGCCUGGCUUCCCAAAUGACCUCCUGGAUCACAGCUACCCAUGGCCUGAAAUGUUGACCUUGGAGUUGUUGCAUAGGAAAGAAAUAAACUUCUUUGUUCUUUGAGCCACAUAGUUAUCACAUAUCUUCUUAAAGCCACUUACCCACUUGUUCUAUCUCAUUCAGCUCUGAAAUUCUGUUUAAUUUCUAGAGUCAAAACAUUCAUUUGUUUCUUCUUUAUUUAACAAGAAUCAAUUACUUAUUUUAUGGAAGCCACUAUUCCAAAGAGAAGAAUCAUAAAAACAUUAGCCUUAUGGAUCUUUUGUCCUGGGAACAACACAGAGUGGAGACUACUGGAAUUUUUAAUAAAGUUCCUUUCCUGGGCAGUGCCAGUCCAGACCUAAUUUCCAGACUUAGUUAAGAUUAGACCAGUGUGCUGAAGAAUCAAAACAUCUAGAUAUUUUCCUUGCUCCAUUCUGCUUACAGCCCCACAAAAACUACUCACCCCACAGGGUUUCUUGCUUGAGAUUCCAGACAAUUCCUGUAUGUUUUAUUAGAAUACACUCUGUGUUUCAUCCAACUAGGAAGCCUUUGGCUCCGACUUAAAGCAUUAAGAACGGACCACUUUGGUAUGGAAAAUUAUCAGUUUUGGGGGAAAAGCCCCUGUUUCUCUGAUCUGUGCUCUGAAUUUGGCAGCUUUGUAGGCUUUCUCAAAGAGCCGCAACUGUGAACCAUGUCAUGUUGUCAUUAUCUCUGAUAUGCUCUGUGCAUUGGAAAUCCUGUGUGAGACUGGCAGGGGACAGAGGGAAUGAAGAAAUCACAUUCAUCAGAACAAGCUGCUCAACUUCCUUAAGUAAGGAGUUUGUCUAACAUCCAGUGGUUUCCUCUGACAGAGUGUGUACUUUCUUAACAUACGGACAAGAUUAGUACAUAGCCAGAAUGACUGUCUGCAGGUCCUAGGCUGCUUUUCAGAGGCAGCUUUAAUCUUCCUAAUUGAAUAUUUAGCUUUUCUAGGCCUGCACAAAAUGUAAAUCACAAUGUUUACAAUCUGUGAAAUAAUAGGAGAGUACAUAAUGUCAUUGCAAUAUUUUGUAAUCACUGUUAAAUGACUAAAAUCUAUUAAACUCAAUCAUUUUAAAUUAAACUUCUAAACUUCCCCAUUGCAGGUGAUGGCAACUCCAUUUUUACAAUCGCUUAGGCCAAAAAAACUUGACGUCAUCCUUGACUCUUCUUUCUCUCUCAUCUCACAAGCAAUUCAUCAGAAAAUCCUGUCAGCUCUGCUUUCAAAAUUUAACCAGAAUCUGAUUCCUUUGCAUCACCUCCACUGCUACCACUCUGGUGGAGCUGCCAACAUCUGUCACAUAGAUUAAGUCACACACACACACAUGCACACACACACAGAGUGUAUUCUCAGUCAAAGUGAUCUUUUUAAAAGGGAAAUAAGGCCAUUCUACUCCUCUGUUCAAAACUUUCAAAUGGCUCUCCACUUUUCUCUGAAUAUAAGCUCAAAUCCAUACAAGGACUUGUAGAGCCCCCGUUACCUUCUGACCUCAUUGCCUCCUACUCUGAUCUCUUAUGCAGAUCCUGCCCCAGUGGCUUCCUUGUUGCUCCUGGGUCACAUAAGGAAUGCUCUUGUUAUUUGUUCCAACUCUUUCUCAGUGCCCUCUCCUUGAUGUCUGCUUGGAUAUCUCCCUCACCUUCUUUAAUUGGACCUCUACCUUUCACCAUAUACAAAAAUUAACUCGAGAUGAAUUAAAGAUUUAAAUGUAAGACCUCAAACUCUAUAAAUUACAGAAGAAAAUCUGGGAAAUUCCCUUCUCAAUGUCAGCCUUGGCAAAGAAUUGAUGGGUAAGUCCUCAAAAGCAAUUGCAACAAAAAAAUUGACAUGUGGGACCUAAUUAAACUAAAGAGGUUUUGCGCAGCAAAAGAAACUAGCAACAAGUAAACAACCUAUAGAAUGGGAGAAAAUAUUUGCAAGCUAUGCAUCCAACAAAGGUCUAAUAUCCAGAAUCUAUAAGGAACUUAAAUCAACAAGCAAAAAACAACCCCAUUAAAAAGUGGACAAAGGACAUGAACAGACAGUUCUCAAAAGAAGACAUAUAAGCAGCCAACAAACAUGAAAAAAUGCUCACCAUUGCUAAUCAUCAGAGAAAAGCAAAUUAAAACCAUAAUGAGAUAUCAUCUCACAUCAGCCAGAAUGGCUAUUAUUAAAAAGCCAAAAAAUAACAGAUGCUGUCAAGACUACAGAAAACAGGGGACACUUACACACUUUGGGUGGGAAUGUAAAUUAGUUCAGCCACGGUGGAAAGCAGUUUGGAGAUUUCUCAAAUAACUUAGAACUACCAUUUGACCCAGCAAUCCCAUUACUAGGUAUGUACCCAAAGGAACAUAUAUCAUUCUACAAAAAAGACACAUGCACUUGCAUGUUUUUUGCAGCACUAUUCACAAAAGGAAAGACAUGGAAUCAACCUAGAUGUGUAUCAGUGGUGGACUGGAUAAAGAAAAUGUGGUACAUAUAUACUAUGGAAUACUAUGCAGGCAUACAAAAUGAAAUCAUGUCUUUUGCAGCAACAUGGAUGCAGCCGGAGGCCAUUAUCCUAAGGAAUAGAAAACCAGGGCCGGAUGUGGUGGCUCACACCUGUAAUCCCAGCACUUUGGGAGGCUGAGGCAGGCAGAUCACAAGGUCAGGAAUUUGAGACCAGCCUGGCCAACAUAGUGAAACCUCAUCUCUACUAAAUACAAAAAAAUUAGCCGGGCGUGGUGGUGUGUGGUGGUAAUCCCACCUACUUGUGAGGUUGAAGUGGGAGAAUCGCUUGAACCUGGGAGGUGGAGGUUGCGGUGAGCCGAGAUCGCGCCACUGCACCCAGCCAGGGCGACAGUGCAAGAGUCCGACUCAAAAAAAAAAAAAAAAGAAAAGAAAAUGAAACCAAAUACCACAUGUUCUCACUUAUAAACGUGAACUAAACAUCAAGUACAUGUGGAGAUAAAGAUGGGAGCAACGGACACUGGGGACUGCUGGGGUCGGGGAGUGUUAGAGGGGGUGCUGAGGAACUGCCUAUGGGUGCUGUGCUCACUGCCUGGGUGACCAGAUCAUUCAUACUUCAAACCUCAGCAUCCCACAGUGUUCCCAUGUGACAGACCUGCACACGUAUCUCCUGAAUCUAAAAUAAAAGUUGAAAUUGCUUUUAAAAAAAGACUUGGCUGAAAUAUCUCCUCUUUAAUAAGGUCCACUGGGACUACCCUAUUCCUACUGUCCCUUGCUGUCCCACUCACUUA
This 4197-nucleotide long non-coding RNA is filed under the name Homo sapiens (human). RNAcentral's name for it is "non-protein coding lnc-HDDC2-5:12". Lineage: Eukaryota; Metazoa; Chordata; Mammalia; Primates; Hominidae. The record is from RNAcentral.